CCCUGUCAACAAAUUUUCUUGCAGAUUUGUCGUCAGAAACUGAACUGUUCUUCUCUCCGGUCGUGAUCUCAAGAAUAAGCAUGCCUAAACUAUAUAUGUCCGACAUGGUGGAGAUUUCACCUCUGUAUAGAUAUUCCGGAGCUAUGUACCCACUGCAAGGGUUUAUUAAAUAAACAAAUGGAAUUUAUCUAUAAUAAUAAGGAAUAAUCAUAUAUUUCACAGUUUGUUUCAGCUUACUUAUGUCCCUUGACAUUGACUGUGUACAUCCGGGUCUGCUCUUGGCCAAAAAGUCUUGAGAGGCCAAAAUCGGCAAUCUUUGGCACCCAGUUAUCAUCCAACCAUAUAGAGUUAGGCACAAGAUUCAUAUGAAUAAGGGGGCCAUCCAAUUCCUUAUGAAGGAAAUGUAAACCCUGGCAGAUUCCCUUAACUAUUUGGAAUUGCGUGUCCCAGUUAAUGGAUCUAGUGUCCGCUGAAGUAAGAAGUAAAGAAAGUACAGUGAACUGUAAGUAUUCUAAGAUAGUAGUCUCCAAGAGUGCGUAUUGCUGAGAAAAUAAGAAUCACUCUUUUGACAAUUGUAUAUAUCUCUUGAAUACUAAUAGUAGAGAGAUAGAAAUGUGCUGGAUAGUGCAUUGCAUACCAUAAAGAUACUUGUCGAGGGUUCCGUUUGGUAGAUAUUUAUAGCACAGACAGCUUUCGACCAUGUCUACAAUCACAUAUCUUCCAUUAUGCUGAACCACUUUCUUUUGUGCUUCAUGGCAGUAGCCAACCAACUGUACAAUAUUGUCGUGCUGAAGUACCAUAAGAUUUGUAACCUCGGUAUCAAAUGUUUUGCCAGGUGCCACUGGGGCGUUUUCAGCCAGCCUCUUCACAGCAAUCGUGCCCCCUUCUGGCAGAACCCCCUGUUUUAAUCUCCAUGGGUCAUUAGUGCAAAGUGUUUUUGUUUGGAAGAAUUUGAUGUUUAAAUGACGGGGCUCAGUCAUUUACCUUGUAAACUAUUCCAAAUACAGAACGGCCGAGUUCUCGCCCAGCGGCGAAAUCGCUGGUAAUUUCCUUCAUAAAGGUCGCAGGUAGUUCUUUUGGUAAUGU
RNAcentral lists this long non-coding RNA (1086 nucleotides) under Setaria viridis. RNAcentral's name for it is "long non-coding RNA (SVIR_LNC008989)". The record is from RNAcentral. Lineage: Eukaryota; Viridiplantae; Streptophyta; Magnoliopsida; Poales; Poaceae.